Aricia agestis (brown argus) is the source of this 134-nucleotide long non-coding RNA. RefSeq lists it as uncharacterized. NCBI's taxonomy places the organism in Eukaryota, Metazoa, Arthropoda, Insecta, Lepidoptera, Lycaenidae. The transcript has 3 exons. The record is from RefSeq and is a predicted model, not a curated record.
UUAAAAUUUUUUUAGGACAAUUUUGAACUAAGUUAAGUAAAAUAAAUAGGGUUCUGGUGCGAUCUCGGCAACGCGGCAAAUGUAUGGCCUAGGUCGUUUGCUUGGGGGACGGCCUUAACCGUAAAUUCUAUACA